RNAcentral lists this ribosomal RNA (253 nucleotides) under uncultured bacterium. RNAcentral's name for it is "partial 16S ribosomal RNA". It matches the Rfam family "Bacterial small subunit ribosomal RNA", at positions 524 to 776 of the family's 1533-position model. The record is from RNAcentral.
UACGGAGGGUGCAAGCGUUAUCCGGAUUCACUGGGUUUAAAGGGAGCGUAGGUGGGUUGGUAAGUCAGUGGUGAAAUCCCCGAGCUUAACUUGGGAACUGCCAUUGAUACUAUCAGUCUUGAAUAUUGUGGGGGUCAGCGGAAUAUGUCAUGUAGCGGUGAAAUGCUUAGAUAUGACAUAGAACACCAAUUGCGAAGGCAGCUGGCUACGCAUAUAUUGACACUGAGGCUCGAAAGCUAGGGGAGCAAACAGG